AUCCCAUGAUGAGGACACUUAAGAAGUAAUUCUUUGAAUCUCUCUCAUGCCUCGUACAAUGAAUCAUCAUCCAAUUGCUGAAUUUCGCAACUUAGGGU
Molecule: small nucleolar RNA, 98 nt
Filed under: Gossypium hirsutum (cotton)
Lineage: Eukaryota; Viridiplantae; Streptophyta; Magnoliopsida; Malvales; Malvaceae
Description: Plant small nucleolar RNA R71
Rfam family: Plant small nucleolar RNA R71
About the family: R71 is a member of the C/D box family of snoRNAs containing the C (UGAUGA) and D (CUGA) box motifs. Multiple nearly identical copies of this snoRNA have been identified in Arabidopsis, and it is thought to function as a 2'-O-ribose methylation guide for 18S ribosomal RNA.
Source: Rfam by way of RNAcentral